GACGAACGCUGGCGGCGUGCUUAACACAUGCAAGUCGAACGGAAAGGCCCUGCUUUUGUGGGGUGCUCGAGUGGCGAACGGGUGAGUAACACGUGAGUAACCUGCCCUUGACUUUGGGAUAACUUCAGGAAACUGGGGCUAAUACCGGAUAGGAGCUCCUGCUGCAUGGUGGGGGUUGGAAAGUUUCGGCGGUUGGGGAUGGACUCGCGGCUUAUCAGCUUGUUGGUGGGGUAGUGGCUUACCAAGGCUUUGACGGGUAGCCGGCCUGAGAGGGUGACCGGCCACAUGGGGACUGAGAUACGGCCCAGGCUCCUACGGGAGGCAGCAGUGGGGAAUAUUGCACAAUGGGCGGAAGCCUGAUGCAGCAACGCCGCGUGCGGGAGGACGGCCUUCGGGUUGUAAACCGCUUUCGCCUGUGACGAAGCGUGAGUGACGGUAAUGGUAAAGAAGCACCGGCUAACUACGUG
Molecule: ribosomal RNA, 467 nt
Filed under: uncultured bacterium
Lineage: Bacteria
Description: partial 16S ribosomal RNA
Rfam family: Bacterial small subunit ribosomal RNA
Source: RNAcentral